Molecule: long non-coding RNA, 912 nt
Filed under: Daucus carota (carrot)
Lineage: Eukaryota; Viridiplantae; Streptophyta; Magnoliopsida; Apiales; Apiaceae
Description: long non-coding RNA (DCAR_LNC002958)
Source: RNAcentral
ACGGUGGUUGUAUUUUUAACCAUAUCUACAGCUGAUAGCAGUCAUAUAUGCAACCAAAAAUAUAACUUUGAAAAUAUCUGUUGAAAAUUACAUUUAAUUGCAUAAUAAGUUGUAAGUGAUUGCAAAUGACGAAAAAUGAGUGUCACUGCGGUGCUGGUAUUAAUAACACAAAAGUAACCACAAAAUCACCUAAAACCAAUCGUCAUACCCAGAAUUAUCAAUACUAAAAGCAACCAUCAAUUCUCUCCAAACACUUCUUCACCGCAUCCAAACAAACCUUCAAAAUCACCACUCUCCGUCGUCUCCAUCCCCUUCCAAACUCGUCUCUUCUCACAGACUCAAAACCUUCAAAAUCGAACAAUCCAAAUCACCAUAAAAGACGUAGAUUGCCAAAGAGAAUUCACUAAAUCACUUGCUUCUUAGCUCUUUACUUGGCUUAGUUUCUUGUUUGAAAAUCUUAGGAGUUAGGACAUAUGGUUGUGACAUUUCUAAGUUGACCGUUCAGAAUGAGGACUAUGAGGUUGUGGUUUCAAGGAAUGGGAAGAGAGAUAGUGUAGAGAACGAGGAGUUUGUAUUUGAUAGGAUUGGAAGAGAACUGUGGUGUAAUCGAGUUGGGAAAGAGACAUAUAAUUUUUUGAGACGGUGGAAAUUUCAAGUGUUAAAUAUUUUAUUUUUCCAAAAUAUAAAUAUCAUAUUUUGAUUGCAUCUUUUUAAUCAUAAUUUGACUGUAUAUUCGUAGCUAUUUUCAUAAGAUUAUAAAAUUACAAAAUAACUUACACAAAGUAGUAUGUUUGAUAAACACACUAAUUUAUAUACAUUUGGAAUUAGACAAAUAUCAAACUAAAAUUCCAACGACUUUAAAAAACGUCCAUAAAUAAAUUCAUAACAUUGAGUUUACAUGACCCUGCCCCA